GGUUGUGUCUGAAGAGUGAGAAGCAGUGGACGAGCCACCUGGCUCACUUGGGCCUGAUCAACCCAUCCUUCAGAAGGGGUAGUGGGCAGCACAUGUAGGAUAAGUAGUACCUCACCUGAAGAUCAGCCAGGAGCUGCAGAAAUGGCUGUUUGUGGGUGUUCAUCAGCCCUUCGAAGACAACAGUUGUCCUUUCCAGAAUAACCCAAAGGACAUUCAGCCAACUUGACACAACUGUGGAAAGCAUUGGAAUCAACAUGGACCAGCAUCCCUGUCAAACACUUUUGACACCUUGUAGAUUCCAUGCCCCGAUGAAUUGAGGCUGUUCGAAGGGCAAAAUGGGGUGCAACUCAAUAUUAGGAAGGUGUUCAUAAUGUUCUUGUACAUUCAGUGUAGAGUUAAAAGAAAACGGUAUAUAUUUUUACAAAUACAUUGUUUUCAAUGUUGAGUUUGUAGACUGCACAACACUAACAACUAACCCCUAAAUUGAUUUAUUCAUGAUACAGAGCCUUCAGAAAGUAUUCAUACCCCUCAGCCUUUCCACAGAGCUUCUUUUGUUGGCACUCCAAUAUGUCCCAUAAACAUCACAAUUGGUCCUUUUGUUCGAUUAAUUCCAUCCAUAUAUAUCCAAAAUGUCAAUUUAUUUGGUGUGUUUGAUCCAGAAAAAAACAGCUUCCAAAAUGCGCAAUGUCACCACAAAAUAUUUCGAAAGUUGCCUAUAAACUUUGCCAAAAUAUUUCAAACUACUUUUGUAAUACAACUUUAGGUAUUUUUAAACGUUAAUAAUCGAUCAAAUUGAUGACGGGUCUAUCUGUGUUCAAUACAGGAAGACAACAAACCAAGCUACUUUUCAAGACUUGCGCAACUCUCAACAGUGUUACACAGUUCCUAGUUGGCCCUACUUCUUCAUUGCACAAAUGAAUAACCUCAACCAAAUUCCAAAGACUGGUGACAUCCAGUGGAAGCGGUAGGAACUGAAAACAAGUUCCGAAGAAAUAUCGUUUACCAAUGAGAUCUCAGUGAACAGACAGACCUCAAAAAGAAAAUCUAAACAGUUAGUCCUCAGGGUUUUGCCUGCUACAUAAGUUAUGUUAUACUCACAGAUAUGAUUCAAACAGUUUUAGAAACUUCAGAGUGUUUCCUAUCCAAAUAUACUAAUAUUAUGCAUAUCUUAUAUUCUUGGCAUGAGUAGCAGGAAGUUGAAAUUGGGCACGAUAUUUAUUCAAAAGUGAAAAUGCUGCCCCCUAUACAUUAAAAAAUAAAAUAAAAUACAAAUCUAAUUAAUAACAUAUUAAAAGCUGAAAUGUCCUGAGUCAAUAAGCAUUAAACAUCUUUGUUGUGACAAGCCUAAAUAAGUUCAGGAGUAGAAAUUUGCUUAACAAGUCACAUAAUAAGUUGCAUGGACUCACUUUGUGUGCAAUAAGAGUGGUUAACAUGAUUUUUUAUUGACUACCUCAUCGCUGAUCUGUAAGGUCCCUGAGUUGAGCAGUGAAUUUCAAACUCAGAUUCAACCACAAAAACUAGGGAGGUUUUCCAAUGCCUUGUAAAGAAGGGCACCUAUUGGUAGAUGAAAAAUUAAAGCAGACAUUGAAUAUCCCUUUGAGCAUGGUGAAGUUAUUGAUGACACUUUGGAUGGUGUAUCAAUAAUCCGAGUCACUACAAAGGUACAGGCGUCCUUCCUAAUCCAGUUGACGGAGAGGAAGGAAACCGCUCAGGGAUUUUACCAUGAGGCCAAUGGUGACUUUAAAACAGUUACUGAGUUUAAUUGCUGUGAUAGGAGAAAACUGAGGAUGGAUCACCAAGAACCAGGUACUAAAGUAAUACUGCAAAAAAAUGGAAAAGCAACUCACCUUGUCCUGAAUACAAAGUGUUAUGUUUGGGGCUAAUCCAAUACAACAGAUUACUGAGUACACCUCUCCAUAUUUUCAAGCAUAGUUGUAGCUGCAUCAUGUUAUGUGAUGCUUGUAAUCAUUAAGGACUGGGGAGUUUUUCAGGGUAAAAAAGAAACGGAAUGGAGAUAAGCACAGGCACAAUCCUAGAGGAAAACCUGAUUCAGUCUGCUUUCUACCAGACACUGGGAGAUCAAUUCACAUUUCAGCAGGACAAUAACCUAAAACACAAGAAGUCAGUGAAUGUUCCUGAGUGGCUGUGUAACAGUUGUCACUUAAAUCUGCUUGAAAAUCUAUGGCAAGACUUGAAAAUAGUUGUCUAGCAAUGAUCAACAACCAAUUUGACAGAGCUUGAAGAAUUAAAAAAAUAAUAAUGGGCUAAUAUUGUACAAUCCUGGUGUGCAAAGCUCUUAGAGAGCCAUAAGGCUGUAACACAACACAAUGUAGAAUAAGUCAUGGUGUAUGAAUACUGUUGAAGGCACUGUAUGUGUCAGGCUUUCCAGGGAAUACCAAUAAGGCUGUAUGGAUGGAAAGUUAAACAUUUGUCUGGCAGCUGCCUCUGCUAAGCCUGUGAGCGCCAUAAAAAAAAACACAACCCACAUCAACACCACCUGUUUUCCAUUGAAAUAAAACCACUUGAUUCUC
Oncorhynchus keta (chum salmon) is the source of this 2531-nucleotide long non-coding RNA. RefSeq lists it as uncharacterized. The record is from RefSeq and is a predicted model, not a curated record. The transcript is spliced from 2 exons. NCBI's taxonomy places the organism in Eukaryota, Metazoa, Chordata, Actinopteri, Salmoniformes, Salmonidae.